RNAcentral lists this ribosomal RNA (200 nucleotides) under uncultured bacterium. RNAcentral's name for it is "partial 16S ribosomal RNA". It matches the Rfam family "Bacterial small subunit ribosomal RNA", at positions 30 to 230 of the family's 1533-position model. The record is from RNAcentral.
AUUGAACGCUGGCGGCAUGCCUUACACAUGCAAGCCGAACGGCAGCACGGGAGCAAUCCUGGUGGCGAGUGGCGAACGGGUGAGUAAUACAUCGGAACGUGCCCAGUUGUGGGGGAUAGCCCGGCGAAAGCCGGAUUAGUACCGCAUACGACCUACGGGUGAAAGCGGGGGAUCGCAAGACCUCGCGCAAUUGGAGCGGC